GCUGGCCGUCUCAUUAAACCAACAAAGCGUUGAGAGCUAUGGAAUUACAGAGAGGAUUUCCUCUGCUAUACCAGCAAUCUAAAGCUCUAUUGAAGAAGAACCUGUUGCUUUCAUGGAGGAACAAGAGCGCCUCAUUCCUCCAGUUGUUUUCAUCCUUGUUCUUCAUUUUCCUCCUCUUCUGCAUCGAAAAAGCCAUGAACGCUGCCAACUCCGACACCACGGCGUAUAAGUCGGUACUCGAUCCUCAGCCUCUGGUUUCGCCGCCGAUCCCUCCCUGCGAGGACAAGUUCUACAUUAAGAAGCCUUGCUUCGACUUUGUAUGGAGCGGAAACUAUAGCGAUAGACUGAAUCGUAUUGUCAGUUCAAUCAUGGCAAAUAAUCCUGGCAGGGUGAUUACGUCCAAUAAGGUUAAAUCAUUCAGAACAACAGACGAUGUAGACUUUUGGCUUUUGAAUAAUCCUAUGCAUUGCCCUGGAGCUCUGCAUUUCAAAGAUAUAAAUGCCACUGUUAUCAGCUAUGGCGUACAGACUAAUUCUACCCGAGUUAUGAAUCGGGGGUAUUCUGAAGAUCCUACAUUCAAAUUUCAAAUCCCACUUCAGAUUGCAGCAGAGCGUGAAAUUGCUCGGUCUAUCAUUGGAGAUCCAAACUUUAGCUGGGUAGUUGGACUUAAAGAAUUUGCACACCCAGCAAAAAA
RNAcentral lists this unclassified non-coding RNA (694 nucleotides) under Hevea brasiliensis (rubber tree). The record is from RNAcentral. Lineage: Eukaryota; Viridiplantae; Streptophyta; Magnoliopsida; Malpighiales; Euphorbiaceae.